CUGAUCAAGAAAGCUGACCUCUGCUUGCAAGCUAGCACUCCUGGAGGAGCCCGCGCCUGAUUAGCUAGUUGGUGAGGUAAUGGCUCACCAAGGCAUCGAUCAGUAGCCGCCCUGAGAGGGUGAUCGGCCACACUGGGACUGAGCCACGGCCCAGACUCUUACGGGAGCCACCAGUGGGGAAUAUUGGCCAAUGGGCGCAAUCCUGAUCCAGCAACGCCGCGUGGAGGACGAAGGUCUUCGGAUCGUAAACUCCUGUCAGGUGGGACGAAGACUCGUCGGUCAAUAGCUGUCGAGUUUGACGGUACCACCAGAGGAAGCCCCGGCUAACUCCGUGCCAGCAGCCGCGGUAAUACGGAGGGGGCGAGCGUUAUUCGGAAUUAUUGGGCGUAAAGGGCGCGUAGGCGGCCUUGUAAGUCAAAGGUGAAAUCCCUCGGCUCAACUGAGGAACUGCCUUUGAAACUGCAAGGCUUGAGGCCGGGAGGGGGUAGCGGAAUUCCCAAUGUAGCGGUGAAAUGCGUAGAUAUUGGGAGGAACACCAGUGGCAAAGGCGGCUACCUGGUCCGGUUCUGACGCUGAGGCGCGAAAGCGUGGGUAGCAAACAGGAUUAGAUACCCUGGUAGUCCACGCUGUAAACGAUGGGUGCUCGGUGUCGCGGGUAUCGACCCCUGCGGUGCCUUAGCUAACGCGUUAAGCACCCCGCCUGGGGAGUACGGUCGCAAGGCUGAAACUCAAAGG
RNAcentral lists this ribosomal RNA (735 nucleotides) under uncultured bacterium. RNAcentral describes it as "bacterial SSU rRNA". It matches the Rfam family "Bacterial small subunit ribosomal RNA", at positions 194 to 907 of the family's 1533-position model. The record is from RNAcentral.